Molecule: long non-coding RNA, 2556 nt
Filed under: Homo sapiens (human)
Lineage: Eukaryota; Metazoa; Chordata; Mammalia; Primates; Hominidae
Description: PCBP1 antisense RNA 1
Source: RNAcentral
GAACACAAAAUGGCGACACGUGGUUAGCAUUCGUCGCCAACGAGAAAUUGGGGUCGGCCCGAAAGCUCUAGAAUGCACCCCUCUUCCUCCCCGGGGCCUUCCACCUCCGCGAGUUUUAUGACUUAAAAAAGCCCACAGGCUGGUCUGAAGAGGAAGACAAACAUAAAGAUGAAGUGCUUAAUUCAAGGUCACACAAUGUCGGGGAUGGACCUCCAGAUUUCCUUACUGACCUGCAUUAUCUUGUGGAUACCUGAGUGAAUUCCACACCACCCAUUUUAUAGAUGAAACCACUGAGACAUGGAGCAAUUGACUGAGUAGUCACUGCCCCACCCCUGCCUGGAGCCUCACACAUGACUCGCCUCCUCUCAGUGACCACAGGUUGGUUGAGGGGUUUAACAAGGCUAAGAAGGUGAGACGUGGUCUUGUAACACAGUGGUUAAGAAUGUGACUUUGGAGCCAGCCUGCUAGGGGCUGAAUUCUGACUCAGCCAUUUACUAACUGUGUGACCUUAGGGAGGAGGACCUGGUUGAUAGAAGAAUUUAUCUCGUAGUCUUAACAUCCACUGUAAUUCCAAACUUUGAGGACGAUAGAGAUCAGUGGGCUUUGACUGCCCAGCAUGCAGUCUCCAUUCUUAGGUGGGUUCCCAAGCCUGUAAAAUGUAAGCCUUAUGCUGCUGAGGGCCAUCUUGCCACCCUGAGGGAAACGCUGCCUGAGAAUGAAACAAGCAUAAGUAAAAGCUGAGCUGUGAGAUGGAGCAAGAUGAAGGCCACAUGACAUCUUUGGAGCACCUGGAUCUAACUGUGCCUUAAGCUAGUCUAACCCUGAACAUUUCAUCAUUUCAUUGACAUGAGCCCAGGUUUUCUUUUUUUUUGGAUGGAGUCUUGCUCUGUCGCCCAGGCUGGAGUGCAGUAGCUCAAUCUCGGCUCACUGCAAGCUCCACCUCCCGGGUUCACGCCAUUCUCCUGCCUUAGCCUCCCAAGUAGCUGGGACAACAGGCGCCCACCACCACUCCCAGCUAAUUUUUUGUAUUUUUAGUAGAGACGGGGUUUUACCAUGUUAGCCGGGAUGGUCUUGAUCUCCUGACCUCAUGAUCCGCCCGCCUCGGCCUCCCAAAGUGCUGGGAUUACAGGUGUGAGCCACUGCACCCAGCCCUCAGGUUUUCCCUUUUUUUACCCCUCCUUUUGAAAAUUUGAUGUGGAAUUUUGCCACCUGCAGCCAGAAGAGUUUUAACUAAUCAGUGCCAUAAAUUUUAUAUAGUUCUCCUUGCAAAAUGUGGAUCAGCCUUUCUCAGCAAAUCCUUUGUCAUAAAGUGCUGAAUUGUAAGUUUGUCAUGAGAAUCACAUGAGAUCAUGCAUGUGAAGAACCUGGCAUUAUCCUCCUCAUAGAAAAAAACCAGUAAAUAUUAACUACAGGAAGCAAGGAAGGAGUGGGGUGAGGGGAAGAAGAAGGGGUACUGAUUUAAAAGAACCCUGGAGUCCUAAGGAUAAUCUAGGAACCCUCAGACCCAAUCCGAUACCCCUAUUCUAAAUGCUCCUAGUGCCCUGUACCUUCCCCUCAUAAGCCUUCAUUAUCAUUGUAAUGAUAUGUUUAUGUAAUAUUUUGAUUAAUGUCUCUCCUUCACUGACCUAGCAGUUCUAGCAGGGCAGUGAUUUUGCUGUGUUGCAUCCCCAGCACCUAGUCUGGUAUGUGGCAUUCAGCAUAUGUUUAUUGAAUGAAUGGCCAUGUGGUUAUUCAGAUCCUCCUUGAUUAUUGGGGUUAGGAUUGUGGCAGAAGUGGCAAAAUCAGGGAGAGUAGUCCCUGUCCCCUCUGUAUCUUAUACACUGCCCACACUCCCAACACACAUACACAUACAGAGAAUUUUGUCUCAAUUAGAUAAUUAACUUCUGCUUGGUUGUAAACCAAACCACUGGUUCUUAAACUUUCAUUGGAUCAUUUUAUUGAAGAAUUAAAUAGUGUGGUUCUGGCCUAAUGUCUGGAAAGCCUUGCAGAGGAGUGGAUUAGGUCUUUGUGAUAAACAGGCAGCCUUCCCUGCUCCUGUGUCUUUAUAAAAUCUAUUUAACUGGAGUAGUCCACCCUCCCUCAGGCUCUUACAGGAAUAUGUUGGAGGCUGUAGGAAGGUGGGAAACCGAGAGGGAAAGGACUGGGCCGCUGGAGACUUCACUCAUUCCCUAGCAAGAAACAAAAGCAGUAAAAGGUGGCCCGAGGACAACCUGAAGCUCACUCCUUCAGCACUUUUGGCUGGAGGUCACUUGUUGGAGCCCCACUCAGAGCUCAGCACACCACCCCACCAGCAGCCUCCUCCUCCCAGCUGAGGCUGCAUUUCAUCCCUUCCCCCAGCCUGCUUUCCCUGAGAUAGGGGAGUGUUUCCCAGGGCCCAUGUGACUUCCACUGGCAAGUGACGAUUACCAAUGGUUUACUAGUCAGUGAAACUACCAAAGGCUUUUGUGCUGUAGUAAUCCUUUUCCUGUUUAAAACUCUGGGGAUUUUCUAAUGUUGCCAAUAGUUUUUCAAGUCAGCAAUUACUGUGUGGAUUAUGUAAUGGCUCGGUAUUAAAAA